This 209-nucleotide ribosomal RNA is filed under the name uncultured bacterium. RNAcentral's name for it is "partial 16S ribosomal RNA". It matches the Rfam family "Bacterial small subunit ribosomal RNA", at positions 568 to 774 of the family's 1533-position model. The record is from RNAcentral.
CGUGUAGGCGGUUGAAAAAGUCAGGUGUGAAAUUCUUCGGCUCAACCGGGGGACUGCGCCUGAAACUUUUUCGACUGGAGUUCGGGAGGGGCAACUGGAAUUUCCUGGUGUAACGGUGAAAUGUGUAGAUAUCAGGAGGAACACCCGUGGCGAAGGCGGGUUGCUGGACCGAAACUGACGCUGAGACGCGAAAGCGUGGGUAGCAAACA